UACAGAGGGGGCAAGCGUUAUUCGGAAUUAUUGGGCGUAAAGGGUGCGUAGGUGGGUCUGUAAGUCAGUGGUGAAAUCUCCGGGCUUAACCCGGAAACUGCCAUUGAUACUAUAGGUCUUGAAUUAUCUGGAGGUAAGCGGAAUAUGUCAUGUAGCGGUGAAAUGCUUAGAUAUGACAUAGAACACCAAUUGCGAAGGCAGCUUACUACGGAUACAUUGACACUGAGGCACGAAAGCGUGGGGAUCAAACAGG
This 253-nucleotide ribosomal RNA is filed under the name uncultured bacterium. RNAcentral's name for it is "partial 16S ribosomal RNA". It matches the Rfam family "Bacterial small subunit ribosomal RNA", at positions 524 to 776 of the family's 1533-position model. The record is from RNAcentral.